Molecule: ribosomal RNA, 823 nt
Filed under: uncultured bacterium
Lineage: Bacteria
Description: bacterial SSU rRNA
Rfam family: Bacterial small subunit ribosomal RNA
Source: RNAcentral
CAUGCAAGUCGAACGAGAGAGAAGGAGCUUGCUUCUUCGAUCGAGUGGCGAACGGGUGAGUAACGCGUGAGGAACCUGCCUCAAAGAGGGGGACAACAGUUGGAAACGACUGCUAAUACCGCAUAAGCCCACAGGUCGGCAUCGACCAGAGGGAAAAGGAGUAAUCCGCUUUGAGAUGGCCUCGCGUCCGAUUAGCUAGUUGGUGAGGUAAUGGCCCACCAAGGCGACGAUCGGUAGCCGGACUGAGAGGUUGAACGGCCACAUUGGGACUGAGACACGGCCCAGACUCCUACGGGAGGCAGCAGUGGGGAAUAUUGCACAAUGGGGGAAACCCUGAUGCAGCGACGCCGCGUGGAGGAAGAAGGUCUUCGGAUUGUAAACUCCUGUUGUUGAGGAAGAUAAUGACGGUACUCAACAAGGAAGUGACGGCUAACUACGUGCCAGCAGCCGCGGUAAAACGUAGGUCACAAGCGUUGUCCGGAAUUACUGGGUGUAAAGGGAGCGCAGGCGGGAAGACAAGUUGGAAGUGAAAUCCAUGGGCUCAACCCAUGAACUGCUUUCAAAACUGUAUUUCUUGAGUAGUGCAGAGGUAGGCGGAAUUCCCGGUGUAGCGGUGGAAUGCGUAGAUAUCGGGAGGAACACCAGUGGCGAAGGCGGCCUACUGGGCACCAACUGACGCUGAGGCUCAAAAGUGUGGGUAGCAAACAGGAUUAGAUACCCUGGUAGUCCACACCGUAAACGAUGAUUACUAGGUGUUGGAGGAUUGACCCCUUCAGUGCCGCAGUUAACACAAUAAGUAAUCCACCUGGGGAGUACGACCGCA